This 418-nucleotide ribosomal RNA is filed under the name uncultured bacterium. Its description in RNAcentral is "bacterial SSU rRNA". It matches the Rfam family "Bacterial small subunit ribosomal RNA", at positions 355 to 787 of the family's 1533-position model. The record is from RNAcentral.
UGGGGAAUAUUGGGCAAUGGGGGAAACCCUGACCCAGCAACGCCGCGUGAGGGAAGAAGGUCUUCGGAUUGUAAACCUUUGUCCUAUGGGACGAAAGAAAUGACGGUACCAUAGGAGGAAGCUCCGGCUAACUACGUGCCAGCAGCCGCGGUAAUACGUAGGGAGCAAGCGUUGUCCGGAAUUACUGGGCGUAAAGGGUGCGUAGGUGGUCAAGUAAGUCAGAUGUGAAAGACCGGGGCUCAACCCCGGGGUUGCAUUUGAAACUGUUUGACUUGAGUACAGGAGAGGGAAGUGGAAUUCCUAGUGUAGCGGUGAAAUGCGUAGAUAUUAGGAGGAACACCAGUGGCGAAGGCGACUUUCUGGACUGUAACUGACACUGAGGCACGAAAGCGUGGGGAGCAAACAGGAUUAGAUACCC